This 315-nucleotide unclassified non-coding RNA is filed under the name plant metagenome. Its description in RNAcentral is "partial contains 5.8S ribosomal RNA, internal transcribed spacer 2, and large subunit ribosomal RNA". The stretch from base 1 to 105 matches the Rfam family "5.8S ribosomal RNA", at positions 50 to 154 of the family's 154-position model. The record is from RNAcentral.
AAAAUGUGAUAAGUAAUGUGAAUUGCAGAAUUCAGCGAAUCAUCGAAUCUUUGAACGCACAUUGCGCCCGCCAGUAUUCUGGCGGGCAUGCCUGUUCGAGCGUCAUUUCAACCCUCAAGCCCCCGGGUUUGGUGUUGGGGAUCGGGCUGCGGUUCUACCGCGUCCCGGCCCCGAAAUCUAGUGGCGGUCUCGCUGCAGCCUCCAUUGCGUAGUAGCUAACACCUCGCAACUGGAACGCGGCGCGGCCAAGCCGUUAAACCCCCAACUUCUGAAUGUUGACCUCGGAUCAGGUAGGAAUACCCGCUGAACUUAAGC